CACACGCAAAGACACAUCCUCUGUGAUUCACAGGAACGUGAUCGAGAGUAUGCUGAGCGCGUACGUAAAGUGAAUCAAGGUACCGAUCGAAGUCGAUUCUUCGAAGUCCAAGAUUUCUUUCAGUCAGUGCAAGAGAGAUCUGACAAUUUGCUUUAUUGCCGCGGCGGAGAACGAUCACAAUCCCACCAUGAAUUGUCUUCAAAACCUUUCAAUAUCAUCUUCUUUGCCGCUGCGAAGCUUCAAAUGCCGGCAGAGAAAGCCUGAUUUCCAGCCCUGCAAACUGAUGAUAAGGAACUUUACCGAUCUACAUCGACGUUCUUCCGUGAAGGCAGUAUCUGGAUCUACAUCAAGUGUUGAAAUAAGUGGCGCUGAAGUGGAUGAUGCCGAGGAAAAGGAGGAAAAGUCUGAGAUAUAUAGCCAGAACAUGACAGAAGCGAUGGGUUCUGUAUUGACAUAUAGACAUGAGCUGGGAAUGAACUACAACUUCAUUCGUCCGGAUUUAAUUGUAGGGUCAUGCCUACAGACUCGAGAGGAUGUUGACAAGCUCCGCAGCAUAGGAGUUAAAACAAUUUUCUGCUUGCAGCAAGAUCCAGAUUUAGAAUAUUUUGGGGUUGACAUUGGUGAUAUAAUAGCGUAUACAGAGACAUUUGAUGAUAUCGAACAUUUGCGAGCUCAAAUAAGGGAUUUUGAUGCAUUCGACCUACGGCUAAGAUUACCAGCUGUUGUAAGCAAAUUACAUAAAGCGAUGAACCAAAACGGUGGAGUGACUUAUAUACAUUGCACUGCUGGACUUGGAAGAGCUCCUGCUGUUGCGCUGGCUUAUAUGUUCUGGGUUCAAGGCUACACGCUCAAUGAGGCUUCAGAAUUACUGCUGAGCAAACGACCAUGCUUCCCAAAAAUAGAUGCUAUUAAAAGUUCAACGGCUGAUAUUCUUUCGGGAUUCAAAAAGAAGCCUAUCACUUUAUCGUGGGAAGAUGACCAAUGCUCAAUUGUCGAGGUAUCUGGACUUGAUAUUGGAUGGGGUCAGAGGGUUCUAUUAAAAUUCGACAAGGAACGAGGUGUAUGGACUCUCAACAAGGAACUGGCGGAAGGACUAUAUGAAUACAAAUACAUCAUUGAUGGUCAAUGGAGGUGCAACGAAACCGAGCCCGUCACUCCACCCAACAAAGAUGGCCACGUCAACAAUUUCAUUCAAGUUGAUUGUGAUAAUGAUCCAAGUAGUGAGAGAGCUAUUGUUCGAAGAAGGUUAACUGGAGAUGACCCAGAGCUCACUAACGAAGAAAGAGGCAAAAUAAGGCAAUUUCUUGAAGCUUGCCCGGAUGAAAAUUGAAUCAGGGUAUGUUAUAUUGGAAUUCUUUUAUCUAGAAUUAUUAUUUUUUUUUCCUUGAGAUAGAGUAUAAUAAUAGUGUCAAUAAAGACCAAGAAAUAAAUGGAUCGAAUUUUGUUGGCACGAUUACAUUUAGAUUCUUUGAUGGGUAGAUAUUUUUAUAGACCAAGUAUUUUAAACGAUGUUGGU
Molecule: RNA transcript, 1516 nt
Organism: Cucurbita maxima (winter squash)
Lineage: Eukaryota; Viridiplantae; Streptophyta; Magnoliopsida; Cucurbitales; Cucurbitaceae
Gene name: phosphoglucan phosphatase DSP4, amyloplastic-like
Exons: 15
Source: RefSeq, a predicted model, not a curated record